Long non-coding RNA from Mauremys reevesii (Reeves's turtle), 572 nucleotides. RefSeq lists it as uncharacterized. NCBI's taxonomy places the organism in Eukaryota, Metazoa, Chordata, Testudines, Geoemydidae. The record is from RefSeq and is a predicted model, not a curated record. The transcript is spliced from 3 exons.
GCACCACUGAGGUCAACAGAGUCACUCCCACCGGUGUCAGUGAGAAGGGAAUUAGGUAAAGAUACUGUGCAGUUGCCAGACCACCUAGCCCUCUAAGGGUUGAGUGAAUUAGUCCAAGUGAGGUGUAGGCAGCGAAGUUGGGAGAUUGGAAAACAACAUGAGAGGGGGUAUGGUCUUGCAUUGCAAGUCCAUGUACAAGGUGGACUACUUCUGCAAUGAGUGGAAGAGAAUGUUGGGUUGAAGAAAGGGGCUGGAUUUACAGUGCUGGAGACUGAAGUUCUUUCUCUGGAGAGUCAUUAAAGCAGAGACAGCUGCCCAGUGAGACCAGCUCCAGCAGUGAGAUAAGUUCCUCCUCCAUGAUCCAACAAGGCAGGUGGUGGAGCUGUGUACCGGCUGAGCUGGUGGACUCUGAAGACUCAUGAAGUGGAGAACCCACUGCUAGGAACUGGCAUGAAAUUCAUUGACACAUAUCCCAUUGACCACCAAACCAUGGUAAAAACCCCAUGGUAAAAACAGUCACUACCAGCCAGGUAAAGGGAAGAUGGGCUCCAUUUCCUAUCUGACACCAAAUG